GGCAGCAGCUAAGAAUAUUCCGCAAUGGACGAAAGUCUGACGGAGCGACGCCGCGUGGAUGAUGAAGGCCGGAAGGUUGUAAAAUCCUUUUAUGACUGAGGAAUAAGCAGUGUGAGAGAAACGCAUUGUGGUGACUGUAGGUCAUGAAUAAGCAACGGCUAAUUACGUGCCAGCAGCCGCGGUAACACGUAAGUUGCGAGCGUUGUUCGGAAUUAUUGGGCGUAAAGGGCAUGUAGGCGGUUCUGCAAGUCUGGUGUGAAAUACCGGGGCUCAACCCCGGAACUGCGUUGGAAACUGCAGGACUUGAAUCGCUGAGGGGCAGCCAGAAUUCCAGGUGUAGGGGUGAAAUCUGUAGAUAUCUGGAAGAAUACCAAUGGCGAAGGCAGGCUGCCAGCAGAUGAUUGACGCUGAGGUGCGAAGGUGCGGGGAGCAAACAGGAUUAGAUACCCUGGUAGUCCGCACAGUCAACUAUGUACACUAGGUGUCCGCGCAUGAGCGUGGGUGCCGAAGCAAACGCGAUAAGUGUACCGCCUGGGGAGUAUGCCCGCAAGGGUGAAACUCAAAGGAAUUGACGG
Molecule: ribosomal RNA, 575 nt
Filed under: uncultured rumen bacterium
Lineage: Bacteria
Description: bacterial SSU rRNA
Rfam family: Bacterial small subunit ribosomal RNA
Source: RNAcentral